UUGUAUUAAUAUACUUUUUUCCAGAUAAUCCACAGAGACUUAGCUGCCAGGAAUGUCCUUAUUACGGAAGAGAGGACGUGCAAGGUGGCCGACUUUGGGUUCGCGAGAGACGUGGCUGGCACCCACGUUUACGAGAGAAAGAGUGAUGGACGUCUUCCUAUAAGAUGGAUGGCGCCGGAGUCUCUAUACGACGAUAUAUUUAGUGUUAAAUCAGACAUUUGGAGUUUUGGUGUUCUAUUAUGGGAGAUAGUCACUCUUGGUUCAACACCGUAUCCUGGAUUAUCUGCUGGCGACGUCAUGAGAAAGGUCCGCGAAGGUCACCGUCUAGAGAAGCCAGAGCACUGUCGUCGCGAACUAUACAACAUCAUGUACUAUUGCUGGGAAGCUGAGCCAUCAGCAAGACCGGACUUCAAAGAGGUAGUGUCAAUGCUGGAACGACUGCUUUGCACGGAGAUGGACUACAUAGAACUGGAAAGGUUCCCAGAUCACUCGUAUUAUAAUGUACAACAUCUGGAUGGGGAGAAACUAUAGUUAAAUAUUGUAGUCAUUUUUAUACGCAAAUAAAUGGGAAUCACUAGAAAUUAUAGUUAUAAAGAGACUAAUUUUCGCUCGUAGCUUCGCCCGCGUGAAGUUUUCCGGGAUAUUUUUUUCUGACUUACUUGAUGUAUCGUUAUAUUAUGACAAAAUUACACAUAAUCAUUAUAAAUUGUAACCUAUGUGUUAUUCUAAUGUAUAACCAAUAUUACUGUAAAGUUUCAUCCUAAUCCGUUUAGUAGUUUUUUUCGUGAAAGAGGAACAAACAUACAUCCAUACAACCACCCUUACAAACUUUCGCAUUUAUAAUAUUAGUAGGAUAACACUGUUUUACUUUUUAUAAAAAAAUCUAGUUAUAGUAUUUCUUAACGUUGACGUGCAUCCGAAAAGUAGUGCAAACACAGAAGUAUAACUUAAUUAUUAUUAUAUUUCCGUUUAAGAACAACAUAUAAUUUAUAUAUGAUAUUUUUAAAUAGUUAAACAGAUAAUUUAUAGUGAUUCACAUUUACUUUAAUAUAUAAAUAUAAGGGUGUUCAUGUACUAAGAACCAAACAGCUAUUUAUCCGUCCGUCUAUACCAAACAUUCCAAUAUGCAUGAGGACAGUUACAAAUUGGAAUUUUUAAAAUUUAUUUUACGGUUGAUACCCGUAAGGCCCUAAUUUGCUUGCUUCCCGUUUAAUUCUUGCUAACCAUAUCAACGCUCGAAAUAUAAUUAUAUCUAAGCGACAAAUAUACCCAAAGUUAUAUAUAUCACUGGAAUAGUAAAAUAUUUCAGCGUCGUUGUAUAGGUUUCGUAGCCCUAGAACAGUUUUCAUAUUAAUAUAUUUAUUUAAUGAUUUCUUAUGUUUACGCGAAUGUUAGACAUUGAAAUAAAACUAAAAACUAUUUAACAUAAUAAUAAUAAAUAAGUAAGGAGAAAAUAAUAAUAUAAAAAACCGCGAUAAAAUCCGUUAAAUAGUUUUUAGUUUUAUUUCAAUAUAUUUAUUGUUACACUGCAAAUAGUUUGAUAUUCUUUUUUACUAUAAUCAAACUUUGCACGCUCUACUGGAGUUUACUAUUUGGCGCUUAGAUAUAAUUAACUUUCAAAUGUCGAUAUAGUAAAAGCAUCGUCUAAAUAUUUAUUAUGAGGCAUAUUACAUCUAAACAUGCUUAUAGAAUCAAGUAUAUUGUUUACUUAAAUUAUUGAGAUAUGACAUGAACAAAACAGUGGCUUAAUGGGAACUUUGGAAGAAGCAUGCUUUUAGUAGCAUAUACGUGUAUAAACCAAAAAUAUUACAUAUGCUCUGUACUUUGUUUUAAAAUAAUUUUCUAAUUUAUAACGACUCUACAUUCCAAAUGGCUGUUUUAAAAAUAAUUUUUACUUUCACAUUCUUCCCCCAAUGUUUAUAUUGUAUAAAUACAUUUAUAUUUUAUUUAGUGCAAUGUGUAAAUAUUUAACGUUGUAAGUUUGCACAGUCCUUUAAAUACUUUAAGCACUGCGCAGACGUCGUCAAAUUGUUGCCAAACACUACCAUGACACACUAAUAUGGUUCAUUUGCUAACGUUACUCUUUCAACAGAGUGUAGUGCUUCUCAAACACUUUGAAACCGUUUGCGUGACGCCUAAUAUACUGUAAGUUCAUAAUUUUGAUACAAAACAUUUGCUAUUUUAAUAUAAUAACUCGUUAAAGCCCCAUUGAUGGCUGCGUUAUUGAAAACGUCGAGGUCCUUUCUUUGAUUCCCAAGUCAAAUAGUAUGUAAAACUAUCGAUACGAAAAAAAUAUUAGGGGCCAAUAUAUAAAUAGGAUUGCCGCCUAUCCAUACAUUAUAUUCACGAACGAACGUAAAUGAAGGCCUGUUGGUAGGUUUACCUCUUUGUUUAGCGUUAUAUAAAAGUAUGCCCUUAUGAAUUAAAUUAAGAGGCAUUUGUAAAACGUAUACUUUUAUUACUGAGAGUGGGUAUACCUAUUUGUUUAGCGUGAUAUAAAAAUACGCACAUAUGAAUUAUAUUAUACGUAAAUUAUACCUUUGUUACUUAUGUCCCUUAGCAGAGCUUGUUUCGAGACAUAAUGUUACAAAACUUGUCUGAUUUCGAGGCAAUGUGUAUAUUCCUGUGUUUUGUAGACUUGUUGCGAAACACCACUUCCACCUCGAGAUAAAAUAGUCUGCAGUCGAGGUAGCGUGUGUCGGGCUAUCUCAGUGAGAUAUCACCUUAUCUAGAGGCAAAAUUGAAUAUAAUUUGUCCGCGGUCAUGCCAAUGUGUGUUCUGCCUUGCCGUUAACCACUGCCACGACUUGUGGUAGAAUGCAAUACAAUUUGUGCGGAGUCGAGGCAAUGUAUGUCUUCUGCUUCGCUUCAAUCCACCGCCUCGAGUCGUCUGGAUUUACUCUUUAAGCUGGUGUAUAAAGACGUUUAAAAUAACGGUACUAAUAGUGUAAAAAAUGAGAUUAAUAUCGCAUAAUAUUUUCUAAAGUAAAAUAGGCUCCUAGUCUUAAGAUAUAGAUAAUGUUUAUAAAAUUGUGAUUACUGAAGCUUGGAUUACACGGUAUUAGUAUAUUCACCCGUAUACGCAAAAGGAAUUCUUUUUAUUUUUAAUUAAUAGUAAAUAUAACAUGAAAAUGUUUAUUUUAGUACUCUUCUUUUGAAUAUUCUGUUACAUAAGUAUGAAAUAUUUGUUAUAACAAAAACAUAAUUAUUAAACUGGUUAUAUUUCAGGGGGCCUAUUCUAUCCACGGGGGCCAAUUCGUCUUUUUGCAACUACGGGCUAUCUGAUCAAAAGACAAUUUUGACAGCCAUAUAGGUAAAAUAAUUAGAAAAUUCCUUUUUUAUCCAUGCGAUUCUCAAAGCUGUUCUUCUAUUAGAACGCCGGUAAUCUCAAAAAGACGAAUUUGCCCCCUUAGACGGAAUAGGGCUCACAGAGUUUACUUUAUAUAAAUGCUUCGGUUGAAAAUUACCAUGAUGUUUAGUGUAGAAAAGAAGAAAUGCCGUGUAAUUCAGGUUCAAAAAUACACAUGUAAUAAAUGUUUUGUUAAAGUAAA
Manduca sexta (tobacco hornworm) is the source of this 3550-nucleotide long non-coding RNA. RefSeq lists it as uncharacterized. The transcript is spliced from 3 exons. The record is from RefSeq and is a predicted model, not a curated record. Lineage: Eukaryota; Metazoa; Arthropoda; Insecta; Lepidoptera; Sphingidae.